GAAAGUAUAGCCAUAGAGGGUGAUAGUCCCGUAUGCGAAAAACAAACCUUAGCUAGCAGUAUCCUGAGUAGGGCGGGACACGAGAAAUCCUGUCUGAAGCUGGGUCGACCACGAUCCAACCCUAAAUACUAAUACCAGAUCGAUAGUGCACAAGUACCGUGAGGGAAAGGUGAAAAGAACUGAGGUGAUCAGAGUGAAAUAGAACCUGAAACCAUUUGCUUACAAUCAUUCAGAGCCCUAUGUAGCAAUACAGGGUGAUGGACUGCCUUUUGCAUAAUGAGCCUGCGAGUUGUGGUGUCUGGCAAGGUUAAGCAAACGCGAAGCCGUAGCGAAAGCGAGUCUGAAUAGGGCGCUUAGUCAGAUGCUGCAGACCCGAAACGAAGUGAUCUAUCCAUGAGCAAGUUGAAGCUAGUGUAAGAACUAGUGGAGGACUGAACCCAUAGGCGUUGAAAAGCCCCGGGAUGACUUGUGGAUAGGGGUGAAAGGCCAAUCAAACUUCGUGAUAGCUGGUUCUCUCCGAAAUAUAUUUAGGUAUAGCGUUGUGUCGUAAUAUAAGGGGGUAGAGCACUGAAUGGGCUAGGGCAUACACCAAUGUACCAAACCCUAUCAAACUCCGAAUACCUUAUAUGUAAUCACAGCAGUCAGGCGGCGAGUGAUAAAAUCCGUCGUCAAGAGGGAAACAACCCAGACUACCAGCUAAGGUCCCUAAAUCUUACUUAAGUGGAAAACGAUGUGAAGUUACUUAAACAACCAGGAGGUUGGCUUAGAAGCAGCCAUCCUUUAAAGAAAGCGUAAUAGCUCACUGGUCUAGUGAUUUUGCGCGGAAAAUAUAACGGGGCUAAAGUAAGUACCGAAGCUGUAGACUUGCGCACAACUUAGAUUAUUUAAGUUUAGAAUAUGAGAAACUAAGUUAUAUGUUUAGUUAUAUUUUUACUGAUUUUUAUAGAGUAAAGAUAGAAAUAAAACUUAGUAAAAUCAGUAAAAAUAUUCUUAGAUUAAAGUUAAGUAGUUUAAGUUGUGUGCAAGUGGUAGGAGAGCGUUCUAUUUGCGUCGAAGGUAUACCGGUAAGGAGUGCUGGAGCGAAUAGAAGUGAGCAUGCAGGCAUGAGUAGCGAUAAUUAAUGUGAGAAUCAUUAACGCCGUAAACCCAAGGUUUCCUACGCGAUGCUCGUCAUCGUAGGGUUAGUCGGGUCCUAAGUCGAGUCCGAAAGGGGUAGACGAUGGCAAAUUGGUUAAUAUUCCAAUACCAACAUUAGUGUGCGAUGGAAGGACGCUUAGGGCUAAGGGGGCUAGCGGAUGGAAGUGCUAGUCUAAGGUCGUAGGAGGUUAUACAGGCAAAUCCGUAUAACAAUACUCCGAGAACUGAAAGGCUUUUUGAAGUCUUCGGAUGGAUAGAAGAACCCCUGAUGCCGUCGAGCCAAGAAAAGUUUCUAAGUUUAGCUAAUGUUGCCCGUACCGUAAACCGACACAGGUGGGUGGGAUGAGUAUUCUAAGGCGCGUGGAAGAACUCUCUUUAAGGAACUCUGCAAAAUAGCACCGUA
This 1540-nucleotide ribosomal RNA is filed under the name Campylobacter coli. Its description in RNAcentral is "partial 23S ribosomal RNA". It matches the Rfam family "Bacterial large subunit ribosomal RNA", at positions 345 to 1732 of the family's 2925-position model. Lineage: Bacteria; Pseudomonadati; Campylobacterota; Epsilonproteobacteria; Campylobacterales; Campylobacteraceae. The record is from RNAcentral.